Non-coding RNA from Salmo salar (Atlantic salmon), 1522 nucleotides. The record is from RefSeq and is a predicted model, not a curated record. Lineage: Eukaryota; Metazoa; Chordata; Actinopteri; Salmoniformes; Salmonidae.
CUGCUUUAGUUGCUAUAGCGAUCCUAACUUGUGUAAUACAUCAUAGGUUCCUCAGCAAGAAACGGGACCUCAGCAAGAAACGGGACCUCUACAAGAAACAGGACCUCUACAAGAAACAGGACCUCUACAAGUCACCAGUAACUCCCUAGUGAAAACAGCAGAGAAUGUGCCUGGUGAUGUUGUAAGUGAUUGACAGUCCAGAGUGAAAACAGCAGAGAAUGUGCCUGGUAAUGUUGUAACUGAUUGACAGUCCAGAGUGAAAACAGCAGAGAAUGUGCCUGGUAAUGUUGUAACUGAUAGACAGUCCAGAGUGAAAACAGCAGAGAAUGUGCCUGGUAAUGUUGUAACUGAUAGACAGUCCAGAGUGAAAACAGCAGAGAAUGUGCCUGGUAAUGUUGUAACUGAUAGACAGUCCAGAGUGAAAACAGCAGAGAAUGUGCCUGGUAAUGUUGUAACUGAUUGACAGUCCAGAGUGAAAACAGCAGAGAAUGUGCCUGGUAAUGUUGUAACUGAUUGACAGUCCAGAGUGAAAACAGCAGAGAAUGUGCCUGGUAAUGUUGUAACUGAUUGACAGUCCAGAGUGAAAACAGCAGAGAAUGUGCCUGGUGAUGUUGUAACUGAUUGACAGUCCAGAGUGAAAACAGCAGAGAAUGUGCCUGGUAAUGUUGUAACUGAUUGACAGUCCAGAGUGAAAACAGCAGAGAAUGUGCCUGGUAAUGUUGUAACUGAUUGACAGUCCAGAGUGAAAACAGCAGAGAAUGUGCCUGGUAAUGUUGUAACUGAUUGACAGUCCAGAGUGAAAACAGCAGAGAAUAUGCCUGGUGAUGUUGUAACUGAUUGACAGUCCAGAGUGAAAACAGCAGAGAAUGUGCCUGGUAAUGUUGUAACUGAUUGACAGUCCAGAGUGAAAACAGCAGAGAAUGUGCCUGGUAAUGUUGUAAGUGAUUGACAGUCAGCAUCCACUAAACUCUGAUGAAGUGCCAUGAAUGCAUGCAGAUACCCAGAAGGCUGUAAAACUGGAGCAUGCAGAUACCCAGAAGGCUGUAAAACUGGAGCAUGCAGAUACAGUAUAGGCAGGAGAUUACAUGAAUCCAGUACUUAUGAACUGCAAUGCAUUUGCACCUGCAUUUUGACUAUUAAGUGUACUUAUCUGGAGUGGACUGUUGAAUACAGUGAAUGCCAAGAGUGUGCAAAGCUGCCAUCAAGGCAAAGGGUGGCUACUUUGAAGAAUCUCAAAUAUAAAAUGUAUUUGUACUUUUUGGUUACUACAUGAUUCCAUGUGUGUUAUUUCAAAGUGUUAAUGUCUUCACUAUUAUUCUACAAUGUAGAAAAUAGUAAAAAUACAGAAAAACCCUGGAAUGAGUAGGUGUGUCCAAACUUGACUGGUGCUGUAUGUGUAUAAAAAGUAUACAGUAAAGUAUUUGGUCCCAUAUUCAUAGCACACAAUGACUACAACAAGCUUGUUUGUUUUGGUUGUGUUUCAGAUUAUUUUGUGCCCAGUAGAAAUAAAUGGUAAAUAAUG